Molecule: ribosomal RNA, 452 nt
Filed under: uncultured Sphingobacteriales bacterium
Lineage: Bacteria; Pseudomonadati; Bacteroidota; Sphingobacteriia; Sphingobacteriales
Description: bacterial SSU rRNA
Rfam family: Bacterial small subunit ribosomal RNA
Source: RNAcentral
CGGUGGAGCAUGUGGUUUAAUUCGAUGAUACGCGAGGAACCGUUACCUGGGCUCAAAUGUAUGUUGACGUAUUACUGAAAGGGAUACUUCUUCGGACAAUAUACAAGGUGCUGCAUGGUUGUCGUCAGCUCGUGCCGUGAGGUGUCGGGUUAAGUCCCAUAACGAGCGCAACCCCUAUCAUUAGUUGCCAUCAGGUCAAGCUGGGGACUCUAAUGAAACUGCCUACGCAAGUAGUGAGGAAGGUGGGGAUGACGUCAAAUCAGCACGGCCCUUACGUCCAGGGCUACACACGUGCUACAAUGGCCGGUACAAAGGGCAGCUACCUGGUGACAGGAUGCUAAUCUCAAAAGCCGGUCUCAGUUCGGAUUGAAGUCUGCAACUCGACUUCAUGAAGCUGGAAUCGCUAGUAAUCGUGGAUCAGCCAAGCCGCGGUGAAUACGUUCCCGGGCCUU